Long non-coding RNA from Triticum aestivum (bread wheat), 1640 nucleotides. RefSeq lists it as uncharacterized. Lineage: Eukaryota; Viridiplantae; Streptophyta; Magnoliopsida; Poales; Poaceae. The record is from RefSeq and is a predicted model, not a curated record. The transcript is spliced from 6 exons.
GAAAAGCAGUCAGACCUAGCCCGCGCCCCCGUAGCCGCCUCCUCUCCUGCCGCCGCCGCCUCGGCCUUGUUCGCCUCCUCUCCUGCCGCCGCCACCGCCUUGGCCUCGGCGCCCAUGCUCUCCCGGCGCCCGUCGGCCUCGAUCCGGCCUCAGUAGGAGGAGCUCGGCCUCGAGACUCGGCAGGAGGAGCUCGCCCUCGAGUAGGACUCAACAGGAGGAGGGGAGCAGCAGCUGCGCCCCAUGCUCUCUCGCCACCCUCGAGGUGAAGGUAACGGAUGAAAUCCCAUGGACGAGCUCGAGCUGGAAGGACGCGGACGGCAGCGGCUUGGACCAACAUCGUCCUGCCGGUGCCUUGCCGGUGAGCGCCACGCAUGGUGCAGCAGGCGGCAGGCACGACUUUGGGAGCUGCGCAUCGAGCGACGACUACUGCAUCUGCCGCCAGCACCAAGCCAAGAUGUAGAGCGGUGGUCGACGGCGGCAACCUGCUCCCAAGUUGCAAGUGAUGUUGCCAGAUAGCAGUAUACCAAGGGUUCUAAGAAUUUGAUUCAUAAAUGUAGCCAAGAUGCAGCGCGGUGGUCGACGGCGGCGGCCUGCUCCCAAGUUGCAGGUUGCUAAUGCUGUUCAAACAGGUGCGUGCAUGGACAUCUUCAUGAUUACUGAUUAUAAGAUCUUCAUGAUUACUGAUUAUAAGUGAACACACGUAUCUUCUCUCGAGGUUCUGAGUGUUGAGAGUGGUUGCUCAUUGUUUCUGUAUUCAAAUACUGAUGAAUCAACACUUCCAAAAGAUAUACUGAUGGCCAAAGAAGAUUGGGGAAGUUCCACUAUGUUCCUACAGACUGUUGGCCAAAAAAGAUUGGGGGAAAAUAGCUCUGGAGAAGGAUUGAGAUGAAAAUGGGAUUGGGAUCUCACUUCGCAAUGCAUUGAAGAAUCAUGGUAGAACUUUUUAUAUUGCUGACUGAGAUGGCAAUUAGGAUUUAUUGCUUUUUACUAAUUUUUUAUUUUUUCUACUUUGCUCAGAUAAUUUAUACAGCCUGUUCUUUCUUUAGUACCAAUGAAUAACUUGGUUACACAAUAUACUUGAAGAUUGCAUUAGGAACAAAAUGCUUAGCAGACCAAACUAAUUAGGUAAGCUGAGAGCUGAUUGGUCUAACCCUAGAAUAAUUGGUUGCCAGUCAUAGAAUCAUCUUGUACUGUUGUACAUAACUAAUUUUGACUUGAACUUUGGUGUGGUCGUGUAUCUUUGAAGUUUUCUGGAGACAGACUACUCUUGCAUCAUUAUGUGCAACCCACAUGUAUCUCACUCGGCGAGACAUGCACACCUAUGCCACAUCUUUACAUGUUUCACAAAAACAUAAACAUGAUUGGAUGGGCGUCCUUGCCGGCGACCUCGCUAUCUCCAACCCAUCCACAGGUUGCUUGGUGUCCUCUCAUCGUGUCUAUUGGUGCAGUAUCACAUAUCCUCUCUCGAAGAGAUGAGAUAAGGAUUACAGGGCUACCAACAACCCACCUCACCUAUAAUGGAAGACAUCCUGAUUCAUUGUUGCAAGCUAGAGAACAAUAACUAUCAUGUUGGUGAUUUCCUUGAUAUAUGGUUCUACACGUGUGUCAUAUGGACCAAUGAAGCAAAGAUAUUGCGGAGA